Gorilla gorilla gorilla (western lowland gorilla) is the source of this 1000-nucleotide long non-coding RNA. RefSeq lists it as uncharacterized. Lineage: Eukaryota; Metazoa; Chordata; Mammalia; Primates; Hominidae. The transcript has 2 exons. The record is from RefSeq and is a predicted model, not a curated record.
CCUCUAAAACCCAUCCACUGGUGUCUCAGGUGCACCCAAAGGGAAAGCUGCUGGACUGUAACUAUAGAAGAUUCUAUUUCUGUAUAAGCCUUUGCCUGACAUGAGAAUCGUUUGAAGGCAGAACAGUGGGAUAGUGAAGGAAUAAGAAUUGGAUGGGGAUUCUAGAUCCCACACCUACAAAACCCUGAGUUUCCAGCCCUUAACAAUGUGUCCACCUGACUGGAGCAGCUGCCUCUGGGGAAACCACCUGUCCCUGGCCUGUUCUGCCGCUUCAUGGAUUUCAGGCAGGAGAAAGCCUCUGGUGGCCGGGGGAGCAAGCCCUGCUCCUCAGCUGUGGUGCCUGAGGGCCUCUCAGCAAGCCUUCCAUUCCAUGGGCUGGAUGAAUGGCACAUGCUGGGGCCUUACCACCAGCACCGCAAUCCAGCUCAUCCCCCCACCCCUGUUGGCAGGUGGGAGGCAGGGUGCCUUGGGGAGUUGGGAAGGGAAAGGGGGCCCUGGAUCCUAGCUGAGGGCAGUCAGGAGCCAGUCAGACCUUGAAAUUCCAGGAUGGCACAGGUCCUGGCUCUGCAGCUGUGAAGUCAUCAAAGAGCUUCUGAGGUCACUGUGCCUGGCACAGCCUCCUCUGCAGCCAGCCCCUAGGUUAGAAACAAGAUCUGAGAUGUUUGAAAGCUUAAAAAAAAAAAAUUGCAGGCCGGGCGUGGUGGCUCACGCCUGUAAUCCCUGCACUUAGGGAGGCCGAGGCGGGCGGAUCACCUAAGGUUGGGAGUUCGAGACCAACCUGACCAACAUGGAGAAACCCCGUCUCUACUAAAAAUACAAAAUUAGCUGGGCGAGGUGGUGAAUGCCUAUUAGUAAUCCCAGCUACUCGGGAGGCUGAGGCACGAGAAUCGUUUGAACCUGGGAAGCGGAGGUUGCCGUGAGCCGAGAUCAUGCCAUUGCACUCCAGCCUGGGCAACAAGAGCGAAACUCUCUCUCAAAAAAAAAAAAAAAAUUGCACCUU